CACAAAAAAAAAAAAAAAAAAACUAUACAAAAACAAGAGCUUCCAGUAUAUGAUACAAAACUCCAACGAUUCCUAACAUACAAAAUGAAACGAAAUUUCUCGAAGUUACUAGGGAAAAGGGAUUGCUUUUUUCCUCCUGUGCAACCAAAAUUUGGAUCGAAUUCGUAGGCGAAACAAAACGAAUGAAUCUAACAUUGAUGAUGAUGAUGAUUCUCGACUGGCCUUACUGGAGAUUGAAUCAUCGCCGCCAUCGGCAAUCGGAAACCCUCCGCCGGAAGUUCGAUCUCUGCAUGAAUCUGCAGAGACAGUGUAGAGUACAUAAUUUCGCAUUAAACGAGAGAGAGUGAAUGCAGGAGUUGCGGGCGAUCGUAUAAUAGAGAAAGCUGUUUUUAGGUAUAAGAUGGUGAAGUACAAUUCAUAAAGGCCUCUGUGAGACACAGACGCGGAGUGUGACUGUG
RNAcentral lists this unclassified non-coding RNA (458 nucleotides) under Hevea brasiliensis (rubber tree). Lineage: Eukaryota; Viridiplantae; Streptophyta; Magnoliopsida; Malpighiales; Euphorbiaceae. The record is from RNAcentral.